Molecule: long non-coding RNA, 2336 nt
Filed under: Homo sapiens (human)
Lineage: Eukaryota; Metazoa; Chordata; Mammalia; Primates; Hominidae
Description: HSALNT0304839
Source: RNAcentral
GUAACUGAACUUUCCCCUUGGCCAGGGCCAUCUUGUCUGCUCCUUACUGUACAUGUGGCUGGCAGAGAAGGGAAGGUGGAGCCGCUAUUUUGAACAUGAUUGGCACAACUGCCAGCAUCUAUAUCUGCAGCUUGAUUUUACAGGCUGCUCUUUGUUAGAAAGGAACAUGAUUUGGGGCUACUUUUCAUUAAAAGGAAAACUGUACCGAAGACUUCCAUACCCUCACUAUCUGUGAUCCCAUCUUGGAUACCACAUUACCUUAAACACUGCCUCAGCCAGGUGAUCAAGGUCAACGUCUACUGUGAUAAGUCAUGGUUUUGGUGUGUACCCUUGAUGUGAUGUGAUAAAAAUGGCACUUUACCUCUGUGGUCUUCCUCUGAAAAAUCCCGUAACAGCAGCCUAAUCAUGAGAAGCAUAUCAACAAAACUCAGACUCAGGGACAUUCUACAAAAUACCAGGCUGUCCCUCCCUGAAAUUGUCAAGUUCACCAAAAACAAGGUGAAUCUAAGAAACCUGUUACAGCCAAGAGGAGCCUAAGAAGACAUGAGGACUAAAUAUAACAUGGAAUUCGGGAUAGGAUUGUGCUACAGAAAAUGUAUGUGCUAAUGUGAGAUGUUAACAGUUGGAGAAACUCAGUUUUGGGUAUAAGGAAUUCUCUGUACUAUGUUUAUCUAAAAACAAUUCCAUGGUGAGCAAACUUAAGCAUAGAAAUGUUAAAUAAAUUGUCCAAAAUAGAGAAGUAAAUAGCAGUGCCAGGUUUCAAGCAUAAGAAUCAUCAACUCUGAACUUUAAACACAGCUCUGUAUGGUACUUUUGUUUAUAUCAAUGCCUAGAUAGAUAAAUAGGUAGAUAGAUAAUUUCCAAGUGCUAGAAACAAAAAAGGAACUAAAACUGAUAAAGAAUAUAAAUGAGGCCAGGCAGGGUGGCUCACACCUGUAAUCCCAGCAUUUUGGGAGGCCGAGGCAGGCAGAUCACUGAAGGUUCGGAGUUCAAGACCAGCCUGGCCAACUGGGGAAACCCUGUCUCUACUAAAAAAAAAAAAAAAUAGCCAGGCAUGGUGGCAUGUGCCUGUGAAGCAAGAGAUGUGAGAGGAAAAACAAAUUUUUCCUCUUUCUUUUGGUAUGGGCAGCUUCCCCCUUGAAUCCCUCCUCACUCCUUGUGAUUUUACCCUGCUCUGUAAGUUUUAUGAGUUUAUAGAUUCCUGUUUUCUGUAACUAGUGUCUGUAAGUCUCUGUAGCACCGUGGAGGUAAUGAGACAUGCUUGAGCAAGCUUAGAUUGCAGCCAUCUGGGCGCCAUAGCGAAGGACACGAGAUAAGGCUGUGCAGGCAUCUUGAGCAAACCUAGAUAACAGCCACCUGGCCUGCACAGCAAGAAUCAUGUGUAAGCUUGAGUUAGGAACCUGUCACAGUUUGAUUAACUGCCUUUGUUCUGCUUCUGUAAGCUUGCUUUCCACACCCCACAAGCUUUGCGCCACUGGCAAGCCACCCUCCUUCAGUUGCAUGAAUAAAAGUCAAGCCCUGUCUUCUUUUGUUGCUCAGCCUCUGGAUAUUAAUCCACUAAGCCAGUGGCAACCUAAAUAAAAUCCUCCUGUUCCACCCAUCUGGUCUCUCCAGUCUCCUCAUUCCUGCAACACCUGCAAUCCCAGCUACAUGGGAGGCUGAGGCAGGAGAAUCACUUGAACCUGGGAGGCAGAGGGCACAGUGAGCCAAGAUGGUGCCACUGCACUCCAUCCUGGGUGACAGAGAGAGACUCAGUCUCAAAAAAAAAAAAAAAAAGAAUAUAAGUGAAUGUUGACCUCAUGGGGACUCACUGGUGUUUCAGACAUCAAGACUAUAGGCUAGAGUUCAAGACCCAGUGAGGAGAUGUGAUAUGAUUUUGUGUGAGGCAAGCAUCAAAAGCAGACACCUGUGUGUAAAGCCCAGAGAUCUGAAGAGCUAACCUGUCUGUGAAAAGGGAAUUAGAUAAAACACAGGCUACCAGUUCACAGAUGCUAGAGAGAGCUUGCUGUCAGCCUAGGGGGAAUUCUCACCAACUGAAAAAUUCCUAUCAGUGUUCAAUGACAUACGACAUUCAUAGAGAUUCUGAAUUGCCCAAGGAGUUUCCAAAUUGUAAUUCUAAUCCAUGAGUUUUGGGCAAUUUAGUGGCUUUGUGAUAAGAAAGGGGAAAUGCAAAACUUCUCUUGUAAGACUCGUGGUGUGAGCUGGUCCUGAAGUUCUUGAUCAUUUUGUUAGCACCCAAACUGGUUUGUCAACAAACUUUGAGAGUCAAAAGCUUGAGAGACAUGCACAUCAAAGACCAUGACAAAAAGGGAAGAAAAGCAACAACAGCACAGAAG